UUAAAUGAAACCAAACGAUCUAUAUUUUCUAGAGUCUGUGGUCUAAUCAAACUAUUUAAAGGAAUAUAAAUUAUUCGCGUUUUGGGUCUAAUGUGUUAAUUUUUUUAUUCAAUACGUUACAGUGUAGGUCGUGAUUUAUUAAUUUUGGUAGCCCAUGUGGUUUUAGAAAAAUUAUGAAGAGUAUUAGAGAUCCGUUGCGUAGUCUUCCUGGUAGAAGUCAAAAAUGAUGCACUGGAGCGCCGUGGCCCCGAAGUUGGCUCGCGGCGGCGGGAUCGUCUGGGUGUCGACCGACUACACACAACACACAUAUUACUAGCUAUUCCAAAGUAUUUGUGGGCAAGCAUGCAAGGCGACCGCGCGUCUCUAAACUCCCGACAUUGAAGUACAUUCGGGAAGACAGUUUUACAAAAUCAAAGGACUGUUUAGUGUGUGUUUUGUUCUAGUUAGUAGCUGUUAUGAAGAUUGUAAAAUAACGUGUAUUCAACCUAGUGGUCAGAGCACCGGUGCAAGCUGGCGGCUGAAGGUGACCGGGGGGGCGGGUUGCUGAUCCCUGCCAGAGAGCCUGAUGACAGCGGCAUCGACAGCGACGACGCCGUGAGGAGGCUCAUCCUUGCUCAUCAGAGACUACCGUUCAGUGACGAGAGCAGCAGUGAUGAUGAGUUGCAGAUCCCUUCACCUACCACGAACAGACACAGGAACGAGCGACGAGCUAGUCUGAAAACAGAAGAAGACCACGACCUAGUCAUCAUGCAGUGGCCACAAGAUCAGUUCACCAAAGACCAAAGCGUUACCAGGGAGACCAGCCCCGACCGGUCUUCCCCUCCUCUCUACGAAGUGGAACUGACAGCUUCAGACGAAGACGAUGACGCUUCGGUCUUAGAGCUCGUCAUACCAAUGCACUCUUCAAGGUACCAGAGGGUCCCGACUUCUUCGCCAAAGAAAUCUAAGCCAAAAGUAGUGAAAAGGUAUUUUUGCAGCAUGAUCUGUUGUGGUCGUAAGUAAGUAUUUUGAUCUUAAUGUUAAUAAAAACUUUUUUGUCUAUGAUGUAAGAUGGAAGUUUGGUUAAGAGUUCGAUUUUCAUCUUGUUGUUAUUAUAUGUGAUUGGUGAGGAGUAUUUUUUUAAGAACUGUAUUCAAAAUAAAUUUUUAUAGCGGUUGAAAGUGCUUUGAAAUAAAGAUGAAGCAUUUGCCAAAAUAUUAACCUCUGUGGUUCCAAAGGGAUCCACAGCUCCUCCCCUGGUGUAUCUCUUUAAGGUUUAUGCAUGAAAUAGUUUUUGUUUAGAUCUUUACAUAAAUAUGGUUUGUUCGACAACCUCCUUACACUAGCUUCCUGAAAAUACAUGUAAACAAUACUCCUCAUCGGUUGAUUAGUAGGUAAUAAUAACCAAUUAAUAUUAUAUUUUGUAUUUAAAUUAUUUUUUACACAAUUAUUGCCUAAUUAUUUUAAGUAAGUGUUACUCUUAUGUAGGUCACAAAAUCGUCAAAAUGUCAGGCCUGGAUUUUAUGUGUAUUUUGCCAUCGCUUGACGAAAUAAUGAGAUGGCCUCAAGUUUUUAUGUACAAAGUAUUGGAAGAAAGGUGGUCAACCAGCUACAUCCAAAGUUAAUAAAAAUAUUAGUGAAGUGGAAAUAUUAGAAACCCCGAUAUUUUAAAAAAAUAUUUGGACUGAUAAGACACUAAACAUGUAUAGUUGCCAAAAAUGUAUGGAAACAUUGGAAAUAUACAUAAAAAACAAACAGUGCCAUGUAAAAACGUUGUCAAUUUUAUAAUUUCAUUAUUGAAUAAAAGAUUGAUUGAGUGAGAAUAUUUUGGUCAAUUAAAUGUUCAAGUAGUAAAAAAAAUAUUUUGAUCACAAUAAUGUGAAAAAAUGCACAAUGUUGUAUUAGUUUUAGUUCCUUUUCUAAACUAAGUAUAUUAUUAUUAACUAGUUAAUAUUUAUGAUUAACAUAAGCCUAAUUUUGCCGAAUUGAAAACCCAUUUAAAAUGGUACUGAAAUGUUUUAUUUUUAAGUUUAAACAUGACGAAAAAUUUAUGAUUAUAAACAUCAAUAAAGUUUAUGAGCAGUAAAA
This is a long non-coding RNA of Helicoverpa armigera (cotton bollworm), 2067 nucleotides long. RefSeq lists it as uncharacterized. The transcript has 5 exons. The record is from RefSeq and is a predicted model, not a curated record. NCBI's taxonomy places the organism in Eukaryota, Metazoa, Arthropoda, Insecta, Lepidoptera, Noctuidae.